CGCAUUCACUACUGUAAGUCGCUCUGGAUAAGAGCGUCUGCUAAAUGACUCAAA
Salmo salar (Atlantic salmon) is the source of this 54-nucleotide non-coding RNA. The record is from Rfam. Lineage: Eukaryota; Metazoa; Chordata; Actinopteri; Salmoniformes; Salmonidae.